This 425-nucleotide ribosomal RNA is filed under the name uncultured bacterium. RNAcentral describes it as "partial 16S ribosomal RNA". It matches the Rfam family "Bacterial small subunit ribosomal RNA", at positions 354 to 796 of the family's 1533-position model. The record is from RNAcentral.
GUGGGGAAUAUUGGACAAUGGGCGAAAGCCUGAUCCAGCAAUGCCGCGUGAGUGAUGAAGGCCUUAGGGUUGUAAAGCUCUUUUACCCGGGAUGAUAAUGACAGUACCGGGAGAAUAAGCUCCGGCUAACUCCGUGCCAGCAGCCGCGGUAAUACGGAGGGAGCUAGCGUUGUUCGGAAUUACUGGGCGUAAAGCGCACGUAGGCGGCUUUGUAAGUUAGAGGUGAAAGCCUGGAGCUUAACUCCAGAACUGCCUUUAAGACUGCAUCGCUUGAAUCCAGGAGAGGUGAGUGGAAUUCCGAGUGUAGAGGUGAAAUUCGUAGAUAUUCGGAAGAACACCAGUGGCGAAGGCGGUUCACUGGACUGGUAUUGACGCUGAGGUGCGAAAGCGUGGGGAGCAAACAGGAUUAGAUACCCCAGUAGUCC